CAAUGGAGGCAACUCUGAUCCAGCCAUGCCGCGUGAGUGAWGAAGGCCUUAGGGUUGUAAAGCUCUUUCWCCRGUGAAGAUGAUGACUGUAGCCGGUAAAGAAGCCCCGGCUAACUUYGUGCCARCAGCCGCGGUAAUAYGAAGGGGGCUAGCGUUGUUCKGAAUYWCUGGGYGUAAAGCGCGCKUAGGCGGCUUGAUCAGUCAGAGGUGAWAUCCCGGGGCUCWACCCCGGAACGGCCUUUGAUACUGUCAAGCUAGASCUYGKAAGAKGGUGGYGGAAUAUCCAGUGUAGAGGUGAAAUUUGUAGAUAUUUGAUAGAACACCAGUGGCGAAGGCGGCCCCCUGGUCCGUAGCUGACGCUGAGGUGUGAAAGCGUGGGGAGCAAACACGAUUAGAUACCCUGGUAGUCCACGCCGUAAACGAUGAGUGCUAGUUGUCUGGCAGUAUACUGUUCGGUGACGCAGCUAACGCAUAAGCAUCUCCGCC
RNAcentral lists this ribosomal RNA (486 nucleotides) under uncultured Bacteroidota bacterium. Its description in RNAcentral is "uncultured Bacteroidetes bacterium partial 16S ribosomal RNA". It matches the Rfam family "Bacterial small subunit ribosomal RNA", at positions 369 to 873 of the family's 1533-position model. Lineage: Bacteria; Pseudomonadati; Bacteroidota. The record is from RNAcentral.